AAUCAACGCUGGCGGCGUGCCUCAGACAUGCAAGUCGAACGAUUAAAGCUCUCUUCGGAGAGUGCAUAAAGUGGCGCACGGGUGAGUAACACGUAAGUAAUCUACCCUCGAGUGGGGAAUAACGUCCGGAAACGGACGCUAAUACCGCAUAAUGCAGCGGCAUCGCAAGAUGACAGUUGUUAAAGAUUUAUCGCUUGAAGAGGAGCUUGCGGCAGAUUAGCUAGUUGGUAAGGUAAUGGCUUACCAAGGCUACGAUCUGUAACCGGCCUAAGAGGACGGUCGGUCACACUGACACUGAAUAACGGGUCAGACUCCUACGGGAGGCAGCAGUCGGGAAUUUUGGGCAAUGGGCGAAAGCCUGACCCAGCAACGCCGCGUGAAGGAUGAAGUAUUUCGGUAUGUAAACCUCGAAAGAAUGGGAAGAAUAAAUGACGGUACCAUUUAUAAGGUCCGGCUAACUACGUGCCAGCCGCCGCCGUAAC
Molecule: ribosomal RNA, 482 nt
Filed under: uncultured bacterium
Lineage: Bacteria
Description: bacterial SSU rRNA
Rfam family: Bacterial small subunit ribosomal RNA
Source: RNAcentral